ACUGCCAAGGAUGGCAGUAGUUCCAUACAGCAGCGAUGUUUUGUGCGUACACAAAACUCGCCUUCAACUGUUGUACACGGAUGUACAACAGUUGAAGAUG
This is a non-coding RNA of Treponema sp. OMZ 838, 100 nucleotides long. NCBI's taxonomy places the organism in Bacteria, Pseudomonadati, Spirochaetota, Spirochaetia, Treponematales, Treponemataceae. The record is from Rfam.